RNAcentral lists this ribosomal RNA (306 nucleotides) under Triticum aestivum (bread wheat). Its description in RNAcentral is "partial small subunit ribosomal RNA". The record is from RNAcentral. Lineage: Eukaryota; Viridiplantae; Streptophyta; Magnoliopsida; Poales; Poaceae.
AUGCAUCGAGAGGUUCUACUUUGUUUGAAUAGAAAACAAUCCUGUGUGCUGAAGGCCCUGGUAGGCGGCAGAGGGCUUCACAUCUUUUGUUCGAACAAUGCUAUUAUUUGCAACUGUACGACCACUUUGUUACUUGCAUGUUCUGUUUCUUUGCUUAGUGUUCCGUUUAGUCGUUCCUGCAUGUUUUUCUUCCCGUUCAUGCUUUUAUAUUGUAUAAGUUGUGCUACGUUGCUCUUCUUCAUUUAUGCAUUUGCUGCACUAUGGCACCUCAAGCGUCAGCAAAAAGAUAUUACAUUUGGUCUUUGA